This 378-nucleotide ribosomal RNA is filed under the name uncultured bacterium. Its description in RNAcentral is "bacterial SSU rRNA". It matches the Rfam family "Bacterial small subunit ribosomal RNA", at positions 28 to 407 of the family's 1533-position model. The record is from RNAcentral.
GACGAACGCUGGCGGCGUGCUUAACACAUGCAAGUCGAGCGGAAAGGCUCCUUCGGGGGUACUCGAGCGGCGAACGGGUGAGUAACACGUGAGUAAUCUGCCCUUGGCUUUGGGAUAACUACCGGAAACGGUGGCUAAUACCGGAUACGACCACUCCUUGCAUGAGGUGGUGGUGGAAAGUUUUUUCGGCCAGGGAUGUGCUCGCGGCCUAUCAGCUUGUUGGUGGGGUAAUGGCCUACCAAGGCUUCGACGGGUAGCCGGCCUGAGAGGGUGACCGGCCACACUGGGACUGAGACACGGCCCAGACUCCUACGGGAGGCAGCAGUGGGGAAUAUUGGACAAUGGGCGGAAGCCUGAUCCAGCAACGCCGCGUGAGGG